CACAGGCAGGAAACCAGUCUUUACUUCCCCUUUCUUUCCCCGCAGCCUCAUCCUGGGGAGCACCGCGCUGUGUGCAGACGUGCCUCGGGCAUGGCGAGAAGGAGCUGGGAUGCCAGGGGUGCUGGUACCCUGCUCCUGCUGAGCUGGCUUGCAGGUGCCAGCAAGAUAGAGACAGAGACCUGCAGCUCCCCAGGUGACUUUUCCCCACCAGCACUCUUCUCAAACAGCUCUUCAGCUCAGGAAGGCGACUUGGUUCUUGCACGCUGCUUCGUAUUUUCCCACUUCCCCGUCGCCCGCAUCUUCUUCUGCAAGAAUGGGGUGGAGCUGGCAAACCACCCAGUCAGGAAAGGGCAGUUCACCUCCACGCUCACCUUCCAGCUCUCCCCAGAGAGCAGUGGCACCUACUCCUGCGGGUACCUGCGCCUGAGCAGCCUCGGACAGGUCAAGCUUUCGAGGCUGAGUGUCCCGUGGUUCCUGAGUGCCGGAGGUAAGUGGAUUAGGGCAAAGGGAGGUUUUCCCUGCCCCAUAUCGGGAACACCCCUUGAACAACCCCAGAAGUGGCAGCCCCUAUUGCAUAGGCUCAGGGGCCCUGCAGUGCCAACCCCGCUAGGACCUUACCAGCAAGACCAGCCUGGUGCAGCGAUGCUCCUCGCUAACCAUGGUAGAGCAUCCUGGGUCCACCCCAAAAUCCCUCUGUUUGUCUGCACUCUGGCAAUGCCCACAACAUGGCAAGGACAGGGUGGUUUGGGGGCAACCCCUUCUCUGCAUGUUUGUCCCCCAGGCAGGAAGGAUGUUCCAAGGAAUGACAGCCUUGCCCCGAGCCCGGAGCUGGCAGCUGAAGGGCUGGGAGUCUUGGGCAGCCUGGCCUUUGUGGUGUUCUCCUUCCUGGCUCUGGCUCUUGCGGUCCAUCUCUUGCUGCAGAUAGGAAAGCGAGUCCAGCUGGCCAGGUUGAAGGCUUUCAUCUCCCGCUAG
Molecule: long non-coding RNA, 972 nt
Filed under: Dromaius novaehollandiae (emu)
Lineage: Eukaryota; Metazoa; Chordata; Aves; Casuariiformes; Dromaiidae
Description: lncRNA (ENSDNVG00000013738.1)
Source: RNAcentral